UCGCUACUACCGAUUGAACGGUUUAGUGAGUAGCAGGGACUGUGAUGCUCGAAAGGUUUACCUUUCUUGCGUUAUGGGAACUGUCGCAAACUUGACCGUUUAGAGGAAGUAA
This 112-nucleotide ribosomal RNA is filed under the name uncultured eukaryote. Its description in RNAcentral is "partial small subunit ribosomal RNA". It matches the Rfam family "Eukaryotic small subunit ribosomal RNA", at positions 1676 to 1785 of the family's 1831-position model. The record is from RNAcentral.